UGAUUUCUGUCUAUAAUGUUGGU
RNAcentral lists this small nuclear RNA (23 nucleotides) under Arabidopsis thaliana (thale cress). Its description in RNAcentral is "snRNA_04201". Lineage: Eukaryota; Viridiplantae; Streptophyta; Magnoliopsida; Brassicales; Brassicaceae. The record is from RNAcentral.